GAUGAAGAACGUAGCAAAAUGCGAUAAGUAAUGUGAAUUGCAGAAUUCAGUGAAUCAUCGAAUCUUUGAACGCACCUUGCGCCUUUUGGUAUUCCGAAAGGCACACCUGUUUGAGCGUCAUGAAUACCUCAAUCUCCAUCUUUUCUUCGGAUUGAUGGGUGACUUGGAUGUUGAGCCCUGCUGGUAUGCUAUAUCAGCUGGCUUUAAACUUAUUAGCCGGCUCUGUACUGGAUCGGUUUGACUCGACGUGAUAAUAUUAUCGUUGAGGAUGCAUGUCUCAUGCAGCCGGAAAGUAUCAAAGCAGCUUCUAGCUUGCCUUUAGUGCACUUUUACAUUUUAGACCUCAGAUCAGGUGGGACUACCCGCUGAACUUAAGCAUAUCAAUAAGCGGAGGA
RNAcentral lists this unclassified non-coding RNA (395 nucleotides) under soil metagenome. RNAcentral describes it as "partial contains 5.8S ribosomal RNA, internal transcribed spacer 2, and large subunit ribosomal RNA". The stretch from base 1 to 120 matches the Rfam family "5.8S ribosomal RNA", at positions 35 to 154 of the family's 154-position model. The record is from RNAcentral.